Molecule: microRNA precursor, 209 nt
Filed under: Oryza glumipatula
Lineage: Eukaryota; Viridiplantae; Streptophyta; Magnoliopsida; Poales; Poaceae
Description: MIR812 microRNA precursor family
Rfam family: MIR812 microRNA precursor family
Source: Rfam by way of RNAcentral
AAUAAAUGCAGUUUUGUACUAUUCACGUUCAAUGUUUGACCGAUCGUUUUAUUUGAAAAUUUUUUAUGAUUAGUAUUUUUAUUGUUAUUAGAUGAUAAAACAUGAAUAGUACUUUAUGUGUGACUAAAUAUUUUUAAACUUUUCAUAAAUUUUUCAAAUAAGACGGAUGGUAGUACUCACUAUACACGCGGUACAUGGUUGAUGUGCUA